Schistosoma rodhaini is the source of this 45-nucleotide non-coding RNA. NCBI's taxonomy places the organism in Eukaryota, Metazoa, Platyhelminthes, Trematoda, Strigeidida, Schistosomatidae. The record is from Rfam.
AUCCAGCUGACGAGUAAAAAAUAGGACGAAAUGCGCGUUCUGGAU